GGAAGGGUGGCAGAGUGGUCGAUUGCAGCGGUCUUGAAAACCGCCGAUGGGCAACCAUCCGUGGGUUCGAAUCCCACCCCUUCCGCCA
Molecule: transfer RNA, 88 nt
Filed under: Roseovarius sp.
Lineage: Bacteria; Pseudomonadati; Pseudomonadota; Alphaproteobacteria; Rhodobacterales; Roseobacteraceae
Also listed under: 6 other names
Description: tRNA-Ser
Rfam family: tRNA
About the family: Transfer RNA (tRNA) molecules are approximately 80 nucleotides in length.
Source: RNAcentral